GUCAGAAAUGCUUUUAUAAUCUUUCAUUAUUUGUUAUUUCUCUAACUUAUAUCAUUCACCUUUGCAAACUGCUAUCGAAGCAGUACAAUAGUUUUGCUACAUCGAGUCAUAUUAUUCAGAUAUUGCUUGGCCAUUCCCUCUAUGCAUCGUACAGUGAAUAAUUUUACAAUAUACAAAAUAAAAAUCUCCCCUCAGAAGUGAGAGGAUUUGACUGAGGAUUGUCCUAUACAGAAUAGGGAUUAAAUUUUUACCAACUCACGUAGAAUACGAUUUAACUUUCCUACUUUUAACAGGAUUAGCAUGAUUCCCACAUUGAAUAGAAAUCAAAAGAAUCUCCUUUUCCCAAAUACAUAGAGGCUUUCCCUUGUGUUUUAUUCAUCUCAAUUCAGAAGGUAGUGAUGGAAUGAAUAUCUUUGGGGUGAAACUUGGGGAUCCUUUGUAGUCUCGCCUUUUUGCCUGUACGUACUAUGAGAGGGUUUUAGUGGUAUGUUAGCUCUUGGUGUUCUUGGGGUCUGGGGUGUGAGAUAUUUGUGUGGUUAAACUACUUUUCACAUGGAUAAAUCUGUCUUUCGAGGCCUGUAGUUUUUCAUGUAUCUUGUGUUCUUUUUAUUGUUCAUAUUCUAUGUUUUUCUUUAUAUUUUGUCGGAAAAGGAGGAUCCGGGGGCUGAAUCUGGAAAUUAGCCCAGAUUCCCCAAUAAGAAGGGUGCGGGAGAUAUGUUAUAAUCCUUAAAUAGAAGGAAUUGAUUCCAACCUUGGUCUUGAUUCUAAUAGAAAGUUUGCUGAAGAUAGGCUAGAGGGCUGCUUAAAGUUUGUCUGAAAACAUUAGUUUGAUUACAUUAGCAAAUCUCAGGAUAGUGUAGAGCAACCAUAUAUUCUGGAAUAUCACCCAGUGUUGGUAGAAAUCUGGUACUUUAUUCGUUAUUGACGGACCAACUUAGAUAUGUGCAUCCUGUUAAUGCCCAUGUCAAGCCUUGUGGUUUUGGACUCUAUAAUCCUAGUGUUGAACCUACUUUGAGAAUGUUUGGCUGGUUUUACCUUGAUUAAAAGUUCUGGGUUUACCUUGAUUAAAAGUUCUGGGUUGACUUUGUGAGUCUUUCCUCGAAGCAUAUUUAUAUUUUCCCGUUCCCAUUAAUUACAAAGACAAAUGCCUUUUUUCCCACUUUGAAAGCAGG
Molecule: long non-coding RNA, 1172 nt
Filed under: Olea europaea (common olive)
Lineage: Eukaryota; Viridiplantae; Streptophyta; Magnoliopsida; Lamiales; Oleaceae
Description: long non-coding RNA (OEUR_LNC010295)
Source: RNAcentral